CCUACGGGAGGCAGCAGUGAGGAAUAUUGGUCAAUGGACGAGAGUCUGAACCAGCCAAGUAGCGUGAAGGAUGACUGCCCUAUGGGUUGUAAACUUCUUUUAUAAAGGAAUAAAACGAGGCACGUGUGCCUUGUUGCAUGUACUUUAUGAAUAAGGAUCGGCUAACUCCGUGCCAGCAGCCGCGGUAAUACGGAGGAUCCGAGCGUUAUCCGGAUUUAUUGGGUUUAAAGGGAGCGUAGACGGGUUGUUAAGUCAGUUGUGAAAGUUUGCGGCUCAACCGUAAAAUUGCAAUUGAUACUGGCAGUCUUGAGUACAGUUGAGGUAGGCGGAAUUCGUGGUGUAGCGGUGAAAUGCUUAGAUAUCACGAAGAACCCCGAUUGCGAAGGCAGCUUACUAAACUGUGACUGACAUUGAUGCUCGAAAGUGUGGGUAUCAAACAGGAUUAGAUACACUAGUAGUC
This 460-nucleotide ribosomal RNA is filed under the name uncultured bacterium. Its description in RNAcentral is "partial 16S ribosomal RNA". It matches the Rfam family "Bacterial small subunit ribosomal RNA", at positions 338 to 795 of the family's 1533-position model. The record is from RNAcentral.